AUUAAUAUGUAAAUAUUUAAGUCAAUAAAUUUAAUCAUAAUGUUUUUUUGCAUUUUCUCUGUUUUUAGUGUUUAAAAUAAGUAAAUAAUUCUACAAAGGUUGAUUUGGAAUAGUAAACGUAGUCACCUUGAAAAGGCUACUAUAGGUUUCAUGUUACUAAUAAAAGUAGUUGUACGUUAUUUUCAUAAUUUGUUUUGUUUAUCAUAACUUUAACCCAUCUUAGUUUAUAUAAACUGUCAUUUUCUUUAUUUUUAUUUUUAUGGUCAUUUCUUUUAAACAAAAAUAUUAAGAUAUCAAUCAAUUAUAUUUUAGAAUUAUAGAUUUAGAAAAACUAAAAUAUCAAUAUUUUACAAUUUAAAUCUAUAAAUUUAAUCAUAAUGUUUUUUGCAUUUUCUCCGUUUUUAGUCUUUAAAACAUAUAUUUAACUUUUUUAAAAAAAAGUUUAAAAUAAGUAAAUAAUUUUACAAAGGUUGGUUUGGAAUAGUAAACAUAGUCACCUUGAGAAGGCUACUAUAGGUUUCAUGUUACUAUUAAAAGUAGUUGUACGUUAUUUUCACAAUUUGUUUUGUUUNNNNNNNNNNNNNNUUUAAAAAACUCAAAUGAUCAAUACGUAUAAUUAAUCAACAAAUUCUAAUUUAAUGUUUUUUGCAUUUUCGUUUUUUGUUUAACAUUUAAUUGUUAAAAAAUGUAAAAUAAUAAAUAGUCUACAAAGGUUGAUUGGAAUAGUAACAUAGUCACACUGAGAAGGCUACUAUAGUUCAUGUUACUAUAAAAGUAGUUGUACGUUAUUUGCACAAUUGUAUUUGUUUUUCAUAACUUUAAACCGCAUCUUAGUUUAUAUAAACUGUCAUUUUCUGUUGUUUCUUUUUGUAUGAUCACCUGUUUAAACAACAAUUAUGAUUAUCAAUUAAAUUAUAUAUUAGAAUAUAGAUUUUGAAAAACUCAAAUAUCAAUACAUUACAAUUUAAUCAAUAAAUUUAACAUUAUAAUUUUGCAUUUUCUCUGUUUUUGUGUUUAAAAACAUUUACAUUAACUUCUUUUUUAAAAAAGUUUAAAAUAAGUAAAUAAUUCUACCAAGCGUGAUUUGGAAUAGUAAACCAUAGUCACCUUGAGAGGCUACUAUAAUUUCAUGUUACUAAUAAAAGUAGUUGUACGUUAUUUUCACAAUUUGUUUGUUUCUAAUAACUUAACCCAUCUUAGUUUAAUAAACUGCCAUUUCUUAUUCUUUUUCUAUGGUCAUUUUUUUAAAACAACAUAUUAUGAUAUCAAAAAAAUUUAUAUUUAAGAAUUUAGAUUUAAAAAAACUCAAUAUUAAUACGAAAAUAUUAAGUCAAUAAAUUAUCAUAAUGUGUUUUUUUGCAUUUUCUCUGUUUUUAGUGUUUAAAAUAAAUAAUUCUGACAAAGAGUUGAUUUGAAUAGUAAACAUGUCACCUUUUGUAGAAAGGCUACUAUAUGGUUUCAUGUUAUAAUGAAAAAGUAGUUGUACGUUAUUUUUCACAAUUUGUUUUGUUUUUCAUACUUAACCCAUUUAGUUUAUAUAACUGUCUUCUUGUCUUUAUUUCUUUUGUCUUUUAUGAUAUCUUUUUUAAAAACAAACAUAAUUAUAGAUAUCAGAUAAUUUAUAUUUUAGAUUUUAGAUUUAGAAAAACUCAAUAUCAAUUUUAACAAUUUAAGUCUAUAAAAUUUAUUUCAUAAUGUUUUUUUGGCACAUUUUUAUCUGUUUUUAGGUCUUUCUUUUCAAAAACAUAUAUGUUAACUUUUUUUAAAAAAAAAGUUUAAAAAAUAAAGUAAAUAAUUUUACAAAGGUUGUUUGGAAUAGUAAACAUAGUCACCUUGAGAAGGCUACUAUAGGUUUCAUGUUACUAAUAAAAGUAGUUGUACGUUAUUAUCACAAUUUGUUUUGUUUUUCAUAACUUUAACCCAUCUUAGCUUAUAUAACUGUCAUUUUCUUUAUUUCUUUUUUAUGGUCAUUUUUUUUAAAACAACAUAUUAUGAUAUCAAUAAAUUUUAUUUAAGAAUUUUAUUUGAAAAACUCAAAUAUCAUACUUACAAUUUAUCCAAACAUAAUUUAAUCCAAUUUUUUGCAUUUUUCAUUUCUUGUUGUUUAGUUUUAAAACAGUACAUUUACUUCUUGUUUUUUAAAAAAGUUUAAAAUAACGAUAAAUAAUUUACAAGUUGGACUUUUGGAAUAGUUAAACAUACCGUCAACUUGAGAAGGCUACUAUAGUUUCAUGUUCAAUAAAAGUAGCAUUGUUGUACUGUUAUUUUCAUCAAUUGUGUUUUGUUUCUAUAUAACUUUAACCCCAUUUCUUAGUUUUAUAUAAACUGUACAUUUUUCUUUAUUUCCAUUAUUUAUGGUCAUUUCUUUAAAACAAAUAUUAAUAUUCAGAUCAAUUGAUAUUUAAAUUACUAGAUUUUGAAAAAAAAACUCAAUAUUCCCAUACGUUACCAUAUAAAGUCAAAAAAUUUAAUUAUAAUUGUUUUUUGCAUUUUCUCUCGUUUUGGUUUUGAAACAUAUAUUUAACUUUUUUUUAUAAAAUGUUUAAAAAUAAUAAGUAAAUAAUUCUAAAAACAAAGGUUGAUUAUUGGAAAUAAUAGUAAACUAGCCUUGAGAAGGCUCAUUAUAGUUUUCAUUUACUAAUAAAAGUGUUGCUACGUUAUUUUCGACAAUUCUGUUUUGUUUUUCAUAACUUUAACCCAUCUCUAGUUUAUAAUCAAACGUCUUUUCUUUAUUUCUUUUGUUAUUGGGCAUUGACUUUUAAAAUAAAAACAUGAUUAGAUAUCAAUAAUAUUAUUUUAGAAUAUAUGAUUUGAAAAACUCAGAAUAUCAAUACUAUUACAUUUAAAAGUCAAAAAUUUAUUAUAUAUGUUUUGCCAAUUUUCUCUGUUUUAGUGUUUGAAAACAUUAUAUUUUAAUUCUUCUUUUAAAUAAGUUUAAAUAAGUAAAUAAUUCUACACAGUUUGAUUUGGGAUAGUAAACAUAGUCACCUUGAGAAGGCUUUAUAGUUUCAUGUUACUAAUAAAAGUAGUGUACGGUUAUUUUCACAAAUUUGUUUUGUUUCUAUACAAACUUUAACCCAUCUUAGUUUAAAUAAACUGUCAUUUUCUGUUAUUUUCUUUUUUUGAUUUCAAAAUUUUUUAAAACAACCAUAGUAUGAUAUCAAUUAAUGUAAUUGUAAGAAUUUAUAUGUUAAAAAACUCAAUAUCAUUACUUACUAAAUUUAGUCAAUUAAAUUUAAUCCAUAUGUUUUUUUGCAUUUUCUCUGUUUUAUUAUGUAACACUCCUAGUUUAACAUUUAAUAAGUUAAAAUAAGUUAUACAAGAUGGUUCUGGAAUAUAACAUAGUCACCUUGAGAAGGUACUAUAGGUUUCAUUUACUCAAUAAAAGUAGUUGUACGUAUUUUCAAAGUGUUGUUUUAUUUUUCAUAACUUUAACCCACUUUAGUUUAUAUAAACUGUCAUUUUUCUUUAUUUUAUUUUAUGUCAUUCUUUGAAACAAAAUAUUAAAUAAUCAAUCAAUUAUAUUUUAGAAAUAUAAUUUUGAAAAACUCAAAUAUCUAAACUUACAAUUAAAUGUCAAUAAAUUUAACAUAAUGUUUUGUGUGCAUAUUCUCUUAUUUUUACGUUUUGAACAUAUAUUUAUUUUUUUUUAAAAUGUUUUUAAAAUAAAGUAAAUAACUACAAAGCGAUUGGAUAGUAAACAUAGUCACCUUGAGAAGGUAUUCUAGGUUCCAUGUUACUAAUUAAAAGUGUUAGUACAUAUUUUCACAAUUUGUUUUUUUCUAAUAACUCUUACCAUCUUGUUAUAUAAUAACUGUCAUUCUUUAUUUCUUUUUUCUUUUUCUAUGGUCAUUUUUUUUAAAACAUAUUUAUGAUAUCAUAAGUGUAUAUUUAAAGAAUUUUUAGAUUUUAAAAAAAAACUCAUCAAAUUAUAUUACGUAAAUUAUUUAAGUCAAUAAAUUUUAAUCAUAAUGUUUUUCAAUUUGACGUCUGUUUUUAGGUUUAAAAUAAGUAAAUAAUUCUGACAAAGAUUGAUUUUGAAUAGUUAAACAUAUACCUUGAAGGGCUACUAUAGUUUCAUGUUACGUAAUUAAAAGUAGUGUACUUAAUGUUUUCCAAUUUUAUUUUGUAUUUUCAUAACAUUUAACCCCAUCUUAGCUUAUAUAAACUGUCAUUUUCUUUGUUUUCUUUUUUUUAUGAUCAUUUUUUUAAAACAACAUAUUAUAGAUAUCAGAUAAAUUAUAUAUUAGAAUUAUAGAUUUUGAAAAAACUUAAAAUAAUCAAUACAUUUACAAUUAAUCAAUUAAUUAUAUAUUAUAUUUUUUGCCAUUUUCUUCAUGUUUUUUUUUUUAGUGUUUUAAAAAUUUACAUUUAACUUUUCUUUUCUUAAAAAAAAGUUUUAAAAUAAGUAAAAUAAUUCUACAAGGGCUGUUUUGGAAGUAAACAUAGUCACCUUGAGAUGCCCGACUAUAAGUUUCAUGUUACUAAUUAAAUAUUUAUUUUUAUUGUACGUUAUUUCCAACAAUUGUUCUUUGUUUUCCUAAUGAACUUAACCCAUCUUAGUUUUAAAUAAACUGCCAUUUUCUUAUUUCGUUUUCUAUGGUCAUUUUUUAUUUUUUUAACAACAUAUUAUGAUUCAAAUAAGUAUAUAUUUAAGAAUCUUUAGGAAUUUAAAAAAACUCAAUAUUAAUACGUAAUAUUUUUAAGUCAAUAAAUUAAUCAUAAUUUUUGCAUUUUUCUCUGUUUUAGUGUUUAAAAAUAAGUAAAAUUUAAUUCUACAAAAGGUUAUUUUUUGAAAUAUAAACAUAUCACCUUGAAAGGCUUUACUAUAGUUUUCAUGUUACUAAUCAAAAAUAGUUGUACGUUUAUUUCACAAUUUGUUUUGUGUUUUCAUAAAAACUUUAACCAUCUUAGCUUUAUUAAAGAACUGUCAUGUUCUUUAUUUCUUUUUUAUGAUAUCUUUUAAACAACCAAUUGAUAUCAAUAAUUAUAUUUUAGCAAUUUUUUAGAUUUAGAAGGAAACUCAAAUGAUCAAUAUUUUACAAAUUUAAGUCUAUAAAUUAAAUCAUAAUGUUUUUUGCAUUUUUUCUGUCUUUUAGUCUUUAAACAUAUAAUUUAUACUUUUUUUAAAAAAAGGUUAAAGCAUAAGUAAUAAUUUUACAAAGGUGGUUGGAAGUAAACAUAGUCACCUUGAGAAGCUACUAUAGGUUUCAUACCACGUGUUCCUAAGAAAUAGUUGUACGUUAUUUUCAAUAAUUUGUUUGUUUUUCAUUAACUUUAAACCCAUCUUAGUUUACUAUAAACUGUCAUUAUCUUUAUUUCUGAUUUAUGUCAUUUCUUAUAAAAACAAAAAUAUUAAGAUAUUCAAUCACAUUAUUAUUUUAGAAUUAUAGAUUUGAAAAAAAACUCAAAUUCAAACGUACACAUUAAAGGUCAUAAAUUUAAAGUAUUAAAUGUUUUUUGCAUUUUCUCUUGUUUUAGUGUUUUGGAACAUAUAUUAACUUUUUUUAAAAAUGUUUAAAAUAAGUUAAAUAAUUCUACAAAAGUUUGUGAGUAUGGAAUAGUAAACAUAUCACCUGGGAAAGCUAUUAUAGGUUCAUUUGACUAAAAAUAUUGUACGUAUUCACAAUUUGGUUAGUAUUUUUCAGAACUUUAUAACCCAUCUUAAGCUUAUAUAAACUUCAUUUUCUUUAUUAUUUUUUUAUGAUUCACUUUUUUAAAACAACAUAUUAUGAUAUCAAUAAAUUAAUUUUAGAAUUUUAAUGUUAGAAAAACACAAAUAUCAAUAUUUUUAUAAUUUUAAGGUCUUAAAUUAUUAUCAAUAACGUUUUUUUUUGCAUUUUCUCUGUUUAGUCUUUAAAACUUAUAUUAACUUUUUUUUAAAAAAAGGUUAAAAUAAUAAUAAUUUUACAAAGUUGGUUUCGGAAUAUAAACAAUUUACCUUGAGAAGCUACUAAGGUUUCAUGUUACUAAUAAAAGUAGUUGUACGUAUUUCACAAUUUGUUUUUAGAUUUUUUCAUAAACUUUAACCCAAUCUUAGUUAUCAUAAACCAUCUCAUUUCUUUAUUUCUUUGUAUGAUCACUUUUUUAAACAAAAAAACUAUUAUAUGAUACAAUAUAUUAUAUAUUAAAAUUAUAGUUUUGAAAAAAACUCAAAUAUCAAACAUUACAAUUAAUUCAAUAAAUUUAAUCAUAUUUUAUUUUGCAUUUUCUCUGUUAUGUUUAAAACUAUAAUUAAUUUCUUUUUUAAAAAAUUUAAAAUAAUAAUGAAGUUUCUACCCAGCUUGAUUUGGAAUAGUAAACAUAGUCACCUUGGAGGAAGGUCUAUAAUUCUUCGUUAUAAUAAAAGUAGUUGUACGUAUUUCACAAUUUUUUUGUUUCUAACUAACUUUAACCCAUUCUUAGUUUAUAAAACUGCAUUUUCCUUUAUUUCUUUUUCUAUGUCAUUUUUUAAAACAACAAUUAUGAUAUCAAAAGUAUAUUUAAGAAUUUUAGAUUUAAAAAAACACUCAAAUAUUAAUACGUAAAUAUUAAGUCAUAAAAUUUAAUCAUAAUUUGUUUUUUGCAUUUUUCUCUUUUUAGUUGUUUAAAAUAAUAAAAUAUUCUACUAAAAGUGAUUUGAAUCAUAAAACAUAGUCACCUUGAGAGGGACUACUAUAGGUUUCAUGUACUAAUAAAAUAGUUGUACUUAUUUCAUAAUUGUUUUUUUUUUCCAUAACUUUAACCCAUCUCUAUUUAUAUAACUGUCAUAUUCUUUAUUGUUAUUUUUAUGUCAUUUCUUUAAAACAAAAUAUUAAAAUAUCAAUAAAUUAUAUUUCUAGAAUUAUAAUUUUGAAAAACUCAAAAUCAAUACAUGUACAAUUAAAUCAAUAAUUUAAUUAUAAUGUUUUUUGCAUUUUCUCUUUAUUUUUAGUGUUUGAAACAAUAUUACUUUUUUAAAAUGUUUUAAAAUAAGGUAAUAAUUUCUACAAGUUAUGUGAAUAGCACAUAGUCACCUUGAGAAGCUAUUAUAGGUUUCAUUUACUAAUAAAAAGUAGUUGUACGUUAUUUUCACAAUUGUGUUUUGUUUUCUAUAACUUAACCCACUCUGUUAAUAAACUGUAUUUCUUUAUUUCUUUUUUAUGGUCAUUUUUUUAAAAAACAUAUUAUAAUCAAUAAUAAUUUUAAGAAUUUUAGAUUUAGACAACCUCAAACUUCAAACUACAAUAUUUUAUCAAUUUAGUCUUAAUUUAAUCAUUAACUUUGUUUUCUGUUUUGAACAAUAUUUACUGUUUUAAAUGUUUAAAAUAAGUAAUAAUUCUACAAAAGUAUGAUUUGAUAUUAAACCAUAGUCACCUUGAGAAGGCACUAUAGAUUCAUGUUACUAAUAAAUAGUUGUACGUUAUUUUUCAAAUUUUGAUUAUGUUUUUCAUAACUUUAACCCAUCUUAGCUUAUAUAAAACUUGUCAUUUCUGUUUCUUUUUUUAUGGAUCUUCUUUUAAAACAAAAUAUUAUGAUAUCCAAUAAUUAGUUUUAGAAUUAUAGAUUUGGAAAAACUUCAAAUAUCAAUACUUAAAUUAAAUCAAUAAAUUUAAUCAUAAUUUUUUUGCAUUUCUCCAUGUUUAGUGUUUAAACAUUUCAUUUAACUUCUUUUUUAAAAAAAAGGUUAAAAUAAGAAAAUAAAUUCUACCAAGCUUGGUUUGGAAUAGUAAACAUAGUUCACCCUUGAGAUGAGCUACUAUAAGUUUCAUUGUACUAAUAAAUAGUUGUACGUUAUUUUCACAAUUUGUUUCUGUUUCUAAUAACUUUAACCCAUCUUAGUUUAAAUAAAACUGCCAUUUUCUUUAUUUCUUUUUCUAUGGUUCAUUUUUUUUUAAAAAUAACAUUUUGAUAUCAAUAAGUUAUUAUUUAAGAAUUUUAGAUUUAAAAAAACUCAAAUAUUAAUACGUAAAUAUUUAAGUCAAAUAAAUUUAUCAUAAUGUUUUUUGUGCAUUUUCUCUGUUAUCAGUGUUUAAAAAUAAGAAUAAUUCUACAAGAUUGAUUUGGCAUAGUAAACAUAGCACCUUGAGAAGGCUACUAUAGGUUUUCAUUGUUAUCUACAUUAAAAGUGAUUGUACUUAUUUCAAAAUUGUUUGUUUUUCAUACUUUAACCACUUAUUAUAUAAACUGUCCAUUUUUCUUAUUUCUUUUUUAUGAUCAUCUUUUUUUAAACAACAUAUUUAUAUAAUCAAUAAUUUAUAUUUAGAAUUUUUAGAUUUAGAAAACUCAAAUAUCAAUAUUUUACAAUUUAUCUAUAAAUUUAUCAUAAGUUUUUUGCAUUUUUCUGUUUUAGUCUUUUAGAACAUAUAUAUUAACUUUUUUUUAAAAAAGUUUUAAAAAUAAGUAAAUAAUUUUACAAAAGGUUGGUUUGAAUAGAAACAUAUUCACCUUUGAGAGGCAUACAUAGGUUUUUCAUGUUACUAAUAAAAGUAGCUUGUACGUUAUUUUAAUUUGUUUUGUUUUCAUAACUUUACCCAUCUUAGCUUAUAUAACUGUCAUUUUCUUUAUUUCUUUUUUAUUGUCAUUUUUUAAAACAAAUAUUAAUGUAUCAAUAAUUUAUAUUUGAAAUUUAUAGAUUAAAUCAAAUCUCAAAUUACGUUACAUUUAAGUCAAUAAUUUGAAUCCUAAUGUUUUUGUUGCAUUGUCUCAUGUUUUUAGUGUUUAAACAUAAUUAACUUUUUUUUAAAAAUGUUUUAAAUAAGUAAAUAAAUUUUAACAAGGUUGAUUGGAAUAGUAAACAUAGUCACCUUGAGAAGGUACAUAGGUUCAUUUACUAAUAAAGUAGUUGUACGUUAUUUUUCACAAUUUUGUUUUGUUUUUCAUAACUUAACCCCAUCUUAGGGCUUUAAUAAACUGCAUUUUCUUUAUUUCUUUUUUUAUGAUCUACUUUUUUAAAACAACACUAAUGUAGUGAUAUCAUAAAUUAUAUAUUUUAGAAUAUAGAUUUGAAAAACUCAAAUCAAUUCAUUCUACAUUUAAAUCUAUAAAUUUAAUCAAAUUGUUUUUUGCAUUUUUCCUCGUUUUUAGUUUUUUAAACAUUAAUUUAUCUUUUUUUAAAAUAGUUUAAAAUAGUAAUUAAUUCUACCAAGUUUUAAUUGGAAUAGUAAACAUAGUACACUUGAGAGGCUUAUAAGGUUCAUGUUACUAUAAUAAUUGUUGUACGUUAUUUUCACUAAUUUUUGUGUUUUAUAACUUUAAGCCAUCUUAGUUUAUAUAAACUGUUUCUUUUCUUAUUUCUAUUUUUAUUGCAUUUCUUUAAACUUUGGGAAGAUUUUCACGAGGAGCAUGAACAUAGUGGACUUCCUUUCUAGAGCAACACUGUGAGAACCACCACCAUAUUCACCUAAAACCUGAAGGUGAUAGGUAGGGUUCUCUCACUUAUAAAUGCUCAAGUCUCCACAUUACAACCAAUGUACUAUUAUUCCACACUACUCACCACUUGACACAUUCGCAAUACUCCCCCUCAAGUGCGAGUCCCACAAAUGCCCCCCUCAAGUGAAGCCGCACGGAACUUUCUUAUUCAACCCUCUAGCGCCGUUACACUCUUAACGGAACGUUUCUUAUUCACCUCCUGCGCCGUUUUUGACUUUCGAACAAGAACCUGUCCCUUUCUGAAACCAAAGUGCUCUAUACCAUUUGUGGGGAAAAUUUUCACGUAGGGAGCAUAACAUAUGGGACUUCCUUUCUAGAGCAACACUUGUGAGCAGACACACCACAUACUUCACCUAAAACCUUAAGUAUAUGAGUGGGUUUCCUCUCACUUAUAAUAUGCUUCAGUCUCCAAACAUUACAACCAAUGUGGGACUAUUAUUCCACACUACCUCACACUUUGACACAUUCAUCAAUAAAACAACAUAUAAUAUCAAUCAAUUUUAUAUUUAGAAUUAUAACUUUUGAACAACACAAAUUUCAAACGUACAAUUAAAGUCAAUAAAUUUAAUUAUAAUGUUUUUUGCUUUCUCUGUUUUAGUGUUUGAAACAUAUUUAACUUUUUUUAAAAAGUUUAAAAUAAGUAAAUAAUUCUACAAAUGGUUGAUUUGAAUAGUAAACCAUAUCACGUUGAGAAGGCUACUAAGGUUAAUGUACUAAUUAAAAGUAGUUGUACUUAUUUUAACAAUUUGUUUUUGUUUCAUAACUUUAAACCCAUCUUAGUUUUAUAUAAACUUCAUUUUUCUUUAUUUCUUUUUUAUAUCACUUUUAAACAACAUAUUAUGCAUAUCAAUUUAAAUAUAUAUUUAAGAUUAGAUUUAAAAAAACUCAAAUAUCAAUACUUACAAUUUAAUCAAAUAAAUAAUCAUUAAUGUUUUUUUGCAUUGUCUCGCUUUUAUUAUUUAAAAAUAUAAUUUAACAUUUAUUUAAAAAAAGUUUAAUAAGUAAACCAAUUUUACAAAGGUUUCGUUUGGAAUCAUAAACAUAGUCACCUUGAGAAGGCUACUUUAAGUGUCCUGUAACUGAUAAAAGUAGUUGUACGUUAUUUUCACCAAUUUGUUUUGUUUUCAAACUUAACCCAUCUAGUGUAUAUAAACUGUCAAUCUUCUUUAUUCUUUUUUUAUGUGAUAUUCUUUUUUAAAACAACAUAUUAGUAAUCAAUAAAUCAUAUUUUAGAAUUUUAGAUUUAGAAAAACUCCAAAAAAAAAUUAUCAAUAUUUAUUAAUUUAAGUCCAAAAUUUAAUCAAACGUUUUUGCCAUUUCUCUGUUUGAUCUUUAAAACAUAAUUUAACUUUUUUUUUAAAAAAGUUUAAAAUAGUAAAUAAUUUAACAAAGGCUGGUUUGAAUAUUAAACAUAUUUACCUUAGAAGGCUACUAUAGGUUCAUUACUAAUAAAAGUAGUUUACUUAUUUUCAUAAUUGUUUUGUUUUUUCAUAACUUUAAACCCAUCUAGUUAUAUAAACUGUCAUUUCUUUAUUUCAUUUUUAUGUCAUUUUUUAAACAAAACUCAUUAAGAAUCAAUCAAUUAUUGUUUAAAAUUUAUAGAUUUUGAGAAAACUCAAAUUCAAUACGUUAAAAUAAAGUCAAUAAAUUUAAUUAUAAUGUUUUUGCAUUUUCUCCCAUUUUUAGUGUUGAAACAUACUAUUUAAUUUUUUUUAAAAAAGUUUAAAAUAAGGAAAUAAUUCACAAAUGUUAUUUGGAAUAGUUAACAUAGUCACCUUGAAAGGCUAUUUAGUUUCAUGUACGAAUGAAAGUAGUUGUACAUUAUUUUCACAAUUUGUUUUGUUUCUAAUAACUUUAACCCAUCUUAGUUUUAUAUUAAAACUGUCAUUUUCUUUAUUUCUUUUCUAUGGUCGUUUUUUUAAAACACAUAUUAUGAUAUCAAUAUUAUAUUUAAGAAUUUUUAGAUUUAAAAUACUCAAUAUUAAUACUCGUAAAAUUAUUUAAUCAAUAAAUCUUAAUCAUAAGUUUUUUUGCAUUUUCUCGAUUUUUAGUGUUUUAAAAUAAGUAAAUAAUUCUACAAAGGUUGAUUUGAAGAGUAAACAUAUCACCUUUUGAAAGGGCUACUAUAGUUCAUGUUACUAAUUAAAAAGUAGUUUACGUUUAUUUUUCAUAAUUUGUUUGUUUUCUAACUUUAACCCAUAUUAGUUUAUAUAACACUGUCCAUUUUCGUUAUUAUAUUUUUAUGGUCAUUUACUUAAAAAAACUAAUUAAAGAUAUCAAUAAAUUUAUAUUUUAGAAUUAUAGAUUUUGAAAAAACGAUCAAAUAUCAAUACGAUUACAAUAAUCAAUAAAAUUUAACUAAAUUUUAUUUUUGCGAUUUUCUCUGUUUAGUGUUAAAACAUAUAACUUUUUUUUUAAAAUUUUUAAAAUAAAGUAAAUUAAAAUUCUACCAAAGUUGAUUGGAAUAGUAAACAUAGCACCUUGAGAAGCUUACUUUAGGUUUCUUGUUACUGAUAAAAUAUUUGUACGUUAUAUUUCACAAAUUUGUUUUGUUUUUCAUAACUUAAAACCAUCUUAGUUAAUCAAACUGUCAUUUUCUUUAUUUUUUUUUUUAGGUAUCUUUAUAAAAACAACAUAUUAUUGAUGAUCAGAUAAAUUAUCAUUUUCAGAAUUUUAGAUUUAGAAAAACUCAAUAUCAAGAUUUACAAUUUAAAAUCUAUAAAUUUAAUCAUAAUGUUUUGCAUUCUCUGUUUUUAGUUCUUUUAAAACAAUAUUUAACCUUUUUAAAAAAAGUUUCAAAAUAAGUAAAAUAAUUUCUACAAAGGUUGAUUUGCGAAUAGUAAAACAUAUCACCUUGAGAAGCACUAUGUUUUCAUUCUGUUUUUAGUGUUUAAAAUAAGUAAAUAAUUCUACAAAGGUUGAUUUGGAAUAGUAAACAUAGUCACCUUGAAAAGGCUACUAUAGGUUUCAUGUUACUAAUAAAAGUAGUUGUACGUUAUUUUCAUAAUUUGUUUUGUUUUUCAUAACUUUAACCCAUCUUAGUUUAUAUAAACUGACAUUUUCUUUAUUUCUUUUUUUAUGAUCACUUUUUUAAAACAACAUAUUAUGAUAUCAAUAAAUUAUAUUUAAGAAUUUUAGAUUUAAAAAAACUCAAAUAUCAAUACGUUACAAUUUAAGUCAAUAAAUUUAAUCAUAAUGUUUUUUUUGCAUUUUCUCUGUUUUUAUUAUUUAAAACAUAUAUU
RNAcentral lists this long non-coding RNA (12632 nucleotides) under Lathyrus oleraceus (garden pea). RNAcentral describes it as "Pisum sativum (pea) long non-coding RNA (PSAT_LNC040496)". Lineage: Eukaryota; Viridiplantae; Streptophyta; Magnoliopsida; Fabales; Fabaceae. The record is from RNAcentral.